This 274-nucleotide ribosomal RNA is filed under the name uncultured bacterium. RNAcentral's name for it is "partial 16S ribosomal RNA". It matches the Rfam family "Bacterial small subunit ribosomal RNA", at positions 523 to 796 of the family's 1533-position model. The record is from RNAcentral.
ACACGAACCGGACAAACGUUAUUCGGAAUUAUUGGGCUUAAAGGGUGCGUAGGCGGCGCGGUAAGUGAGGUGUGAAAGCCCACGACUCAAUCGUGGAAUUGCGCUUCAUACUGCCGUGCUAGAGGGAGACAGAGGUAAGCGGAACUGAUGGUGGAGCGGUGAAAUGCGUUGAUAUUAUCAGGAACACCGGUGGCGAAGGCGGCUUACUGGGUCUCUUCUGACGCUGAGGCACGAAAGCUAGGGUAGCGAACGGGAGUAGAAACCCCAGUAGUCC